Molecule: ribosomal RNA, 469 nt
Filed under: uncultured bacterium
Lineage: Bacteria
Description: partial 16S ribosomal RNA
Rfam family: Bacterial small subunit ribosomal RNA
Source: RNAcentral
GACGAACGCUGGCGGCGUGCUUAACACAUGCAAGUCGAACGGAAAGGCCCUGCUUGCAGGGUGCUCGAGUGGCGAACGGGUGAGUAACGCGUGGGUGAUCUGCCCCUUACUUUGGGAUAAGCCUGGGAAACUGGGUCUAAUACUGGAUAGGACCAUGCUGUAGGUGGUGUGGUGGAAAGAUUAGUUUCGGUAAGGGAUGAGCUCGCGGCCUAUCAGCUUGUUGGUGGGGUAAUGGCCUACCAAGGCGUCGACGGGUAGCCGGCCUGAGAGGGUGGACGGCCACAUUGGGACUGAGAUACGGCCCAGACUCCUACGGGAGGCAGCAGUGGGGAAUAUUGCACAAUGGGCGCAAGCCUGAUGCAGCGACGCCGCGCGGGGGAUGACGGCCUUCGGGUUGUAAACUCCUUUCAGCCAUGACGAAGCCCUUGUGGUGACGGUAGUGGUAGAAGAAGCACCGGCUAACUACGUG